This 422-nucleotide ribosomal RNA is filed under the name uncultured bacterium. Its description in RNAcentral is "bacterial SSU rRNA". It matches the Rfam family "Bacterial small subunit ribosomal RNA", at positions 355 to 774 of the family's 1533-position model. The record is from RNAcentral.
UGAGGAAUAUUGGGCAAUGCCCGCAAGGGUGACCCAGCAACGCCGCGUGGAGGAUGAAUGUCGUAAGAUUGUAAACUCCUGUUAGAGGGGAAGAAUAGUACCGGUUGGACCGGUAUAUGACUGUACCCUCAGAGAAAGCCCCGGCUAACUACGUGCCAGCAGCCGCGGUAAUACGUAGGGGGCAAGCGUUGUCCGGAUUUACUGGGCGUAAAGGGCGCGUAGGCGGCAAUUCAAGUCAGCUGUGAAAUCUCUGGGCUUAACCCGGAACGGCCAGCUGAUACUGCUUUGCGAGAGUGCGGAAGGGGCAAUCGGAAUUCUUGGUGUAGCGGUAAAAUGCGUAGAUAUCAAGAGGAACACCUGAGGUGAAGACGGGUUGCUGGGCCGACACUGACGCUGAGGCGCGAAAGCCAGGGGAGCAAACG